UACGUAGGGGGCGAGCGUUGUCCGGAUUUAUUGGGCGUAAAGAGCUCGUAGGCGGUUGGGUAAGUCGGGUGUGAAAACUCAGGGCUCAACCUGGAGACGCCACCCGAUACUGUCAUGACUAGAGUCCGGUAGGGGAGCGUGGAAUUCCUGGUGUAGCGGUGAAAUGCGCAGAUAUCAGGAGGAACACCAGCGGCGAAGGCGGCGCUCUGGGCCGGUACUGACGCUGAGGAGCGAAAGCGUGGGUAGCAAACAGG
This 254-nucleotide ribosomal RNA is filed under the name uncultured bacterium. RNAcentral's name for it is "partial 16S ribosomal RNA". It matches the Rfam family "Bacterial small subunit ribosomal RNA", at positions 524 to 776 of the family's 1533-position model. The record is from RNAcentral.